CCUACGGGUGGCUGCAGUAAGGAAUAUUGGUCAAUGGACGAAAGUCUGAACCAGCCAUGCCGCGUGGAGGAUGAAGGUCCUCUGGAUUGUAAACUUCUUUUAUAUGGGACGAAAAAAGGGUUUUCUAACUCGUCUGACGGUACCAUAUGAAUAAGCACCGGCUAACUCCGUGCCAGCAGCCGCGGUAAUACGGAGGGUGCAAGCGUUAUCCGGAUUCACUGGGUUUAAAGGGUGCGUAGGUGGGUUGGUAAGUCAGUGGUGAAAUCUCCGAGCUU
Molecule: ribosomal RNA, 275 nt
Filed under: uncultured Niabella sp.
Lineage: Bacteria; Pseudomonadati; Bacteroidota; Chitinophagia; Chitinophagales; Chitinophagaceae
Description: partial 16S ribosomal RNA
Rfam family: Bacterial small subunit ribosomal RNA
Source: RNAcentral